AACGAACGCUGGCGGCAGGCCUAACACAUGCAAGUCGAACGCCGUAGCAAUACGGAGUGGCAGACGGGUGAGUAACGCGUGGGAACAUACCCCUCGGUUCGGAAUAACUCAGGGAAACUUGAGCUAAUACCGGAUACGUCCGAGGUUUUGAUCGACCUUGGAGAAAGAUUUAUCGCCGAAGGAUUGGCCCGCGUCUGAUUAGCUUGUUGGUGAGGUAAUGGCUCACCAAGGCGACGAUCAGUAGCUGGUCUGAGAGGAUGAUCAGCCACAUUGGGACUGAGACACGGCCCAAACUCCUACGGGAGGCAGCAGUGGGGAAUAUUGGACAAUGGGACGAAAGCCUGAUCCAGCCAUGCCGCGUGAGUGAUGAAGGCCU
Molecule: ribosomal RNA, 376 nt
Filed under: uncultured bacterium
Lineage: Bacteria
Description: bacterial SSU rRNA
Rfam family: Bacterial small subunit ribosomal RNA
Source: RNAcentral